GGGAGGCUGCUUGGAAUUGGUAUACAGCGCGGACUUAAAAUCCGAUGACCUUAAUUGGUGGGGGUUCGAGUCCCCUGCCUCCCACCA
RNAcentral lists this small RNA (87 nucleotides) under Pseudomonas syringae pv. actinidiae. RNAcentral's name for it is "tRNA-Leu". It matches the Rfam family "Selenocysteine transfer RNA". Lineage: Bacteria; Pseudomonadati; Pseudomonadota; Gammaproteobacteria; Pseudomonadales; Pseudomonadaceae. The record is from RNAcentral.